CCUACGGGUGGCAGCAGUGGGGAAUUUUGGACAAUGGGCGCAAGCCUGAUCCAGCUAUUCCGCGUGUGGGAAGACGGCCUUCGGGUUGUAAACCACUUUUGUAGAGAACGAAAAGUCUGUUGAUAAUACCGAUAGAUGAUUACGGUACUCUCAGAAUAAGCACCGGCUAACUACGUGCCAGCAGCCGCGGUAAUACGUAGGGUGCGAGCGUUAAUCGGAAUUACUGGGCGGAACGGGUGUGCAUGCGGUUUUGCAAGAUUGAUGUGAAAGCCCCGGGCUUAACCUGGGAAAGCCAUACAUUACUGCAAGACUAGAGUGCGUCAGAGGGGGGUGGAAUUCCAAGUGUAGCAGUGAAAUGCGUAGAUAUUUGGAAGAACACCGAUGGCGAAGGCAGCCCCCUGGGACGCAACUGACGCUCAUACACGAAAGCGUGGGGAGCAAACAGGAUUAGAUACCCGGGUAGUC
Molecule: ribosomal RNA, 465 nt
Filed under: uncultured bacterium
Lineage: Bacteria
Description: partial 16S ribosomal RNA
Rfam family: Bacterial small subunit ribosomal RNA
Source: RNAcentral